GUGCCAGCCGCCGCGGUAAUACGCAGGGCGCAAGCGUUGUCCGGAAUUAUUGGGCGUAAAGAGCUCGUAGGCGGUUUGUCGCGUCUGCUGUGAAAGCCCGGGGCUCAACCCCGGGUCCGCAGUGGGUACGGGCAGACUAGAGUGCAGUAGGGGAGACUGGAAUUCCUGGUGUAGCGGUGAAAUGCGCAGAUAUCAGGAGGAACACCGAUGGCGAAGGCAGGUCUCUGGGCUGUAACUGACGCUGAGGAGCGAAAGCAUGGGGAGCGAACAGGAUUAGAUACCCCGGUAGUCC
This 292-nucleotide ribosomal RNA is filed under the name uncultured bacterium. Its description in RNAcentral is "partial 16S ribosomal RNA". It matches the Rfam family "Bacterial small subunit ribosomal RNA", at positions 505 to 796 of the family's 1533-position model. The record is from RNAcentral.